Molecule: long non-coding RNA, 7261 nt
Filed under: Homo sapiens (human)
Lineage: Eukaryota; Metazoa; Chordata; Mammalia; Primates; Hominidae
Description: HSALNT0152879
Source: RNAcentral
GAGACUGUCCGCAAAGACCACGAGGAACCAGUUGAAGGUGACGAGGGAGAGAUCCACGUGGUGCUGCCCCAGAUGGGCCAUCAGCCUGGGCAGCUUCUCCGAGAGCAGGUCCUGGAGCACCCGCUGGUCCACCUGGAAGCCAGCGAGAGGGCCUGUCAUCUGCAGCCCCAGCGUAGGGCUGCCUCCCUCCCUGCCCAGCCUUCCUACCCAGUCAGUCCACACACAAUCCUGAAGCUGCUCUGGGCAGGUCCUUUCCUGCCCAGGAGACACCUCGGGGAGCCAGGGGCCAGUCUAGCUGGGAGUCAGGUACAGCAUCAUAUCACUCCGCUGCUCCUAAUAUAGGCCAGAGUCCUCUGGACUGGGGCACUGGGCUCUGCAGUGGAGCCAUGUGGGCUGGCACGUUCUCCGCCCGCUCACCCAUCUGAAUCCCUUGAGCCAAGCAGGAGGUCAGGGGCCAGCUGAUCCUGCUGGCAGUUCAGAGACACUGGUCUCAUGCCCAGGGGCCUUGGCGAAAUGGAAGCUUUGUCUCUAGGCUUAUAUCAGCUGACAACCACAGCCCCUUCUCUAUACCCAAUUUGUGCCUGACACCUAAGAUGCUAGGCGGAUGUCUGGUCCAGGGACAGGUGUGUGUGGGAACGCAUAAUGUCCUGCCUCGCCGGACAUCAAGGAAUCUUCUCAAAACAGGGUGCUCCUGGCGACACUGGCCAGUGACCUCUUCUUGUGACCACUGUCAUGCCUCCGUCCUUGUUUCACUGGAUGGGUUAACCACUCUCAGCACUGGCUCCAAGACAUGGUUCUUUCGUGGUUCUCCUCCUCCCUCUGUGAUGACUCCAUUUCAGUUUCCCCUUGCUUUUCCUGGAACUGCUCAGUCCUCUCCUCUCACUUAUGUCCUCUUCCAGGCAUUAGCGUCAGCUGUGGCAAACAGCCAGUAGCUCCCCUCCUCCCUCACCCAGAACCUUGGGUCAUCUACCGAGGCCAAGUGUCCAGUUCAAAACCUAAGGUAACUCCCCAAGUCUAAGAUGCCAUUGACCUACUGAAGGAUUUAUGGAUGAACUGAUACAAUGCCAGAAAUUUACUUCAAGACAAAGCAGGAGGAGCGGAUGGGAGUUCAGAAGAAAUAACACUGGCUCCCUGGGUUGAUAACUGAAGCCAGGUAAUGGACACAUGGAGGUUCAUUAUACUAUUCCCUCUAUCGUUUUGAAUGUGGGAAAUUUUCCAUAAUAAAAUAUGGAAAAAAGGGUCAUAUAACACACAUCAAUUUCAGAGAUGUUAAGAUGUAAAAAUUAAAUAUGUACAUUUCCUAACUUGCCUUGCAACUAGGGCAGCCAUGAAAUAGUUCUGACCAGUAAACUGCAAGUAGAAAUUGCUGGGUCAGGGAGCCAGCUCCUGGUGUUCACCUUCUGCUUCUCCUGGCCUAGGCCAUGCCCACAGUGCUGGAGGCGAUGCAGCCAUUUUGUGACCAGGAGGUGAUGGGUGUGAGGAUGAAGGCCACCUGCCAGAGAUGGCAGAGCAGGGAGCUAGGAGCCUGAACCCUGCGGUACUGCCUUGUCAUUCACUAUCUGAGAAUAAUAAUCCCCGAUUGAAGCUGUUGUUAGGUUGGGCUUCUCUUCCAUGCAGCCAAAUGCACUCCCACAGUGCAGAGGGAGAAAUGGAAGCCCGAGAGAUUCCCAACUUUCCUGAGAGUCACAGGCUUCUAGGAACAGCUCUGGGGCACUGCCCUACAUGGCUGCAAAGUCCCCUCCUGGCCCCACUUACCUGGGAUGCCGUCAGCGUGUUGCAGUAGUAAUCAGCGGGCAUGAUGGUCUCCACAAUGGCCACCAGGCACCAGAAGGCGCUCUCCUCCUCCUCUAGGACCAGCAGGGCAAUGGCCGCCAGCCUGGAGUAGUAGGGAAGGCCUGGAGUGAUUACAGAAGCCGUGGCCCUGCCAGGCAGCACAUGGCAGAGGUGGCUUCCUGGGUUCCAGGGGGAAAGUCCUUCCAUGUGAGCAUCAGUGCAAUCCCACUCCCUAACCAGAUUUGUGCUCCUGGCACCUGGGGUGAGAUAAACGCUCUUUUGGGGAGGAUGACCGGCGAUUUCCAGAGCAAUGGGGGUCACUUCAGAGCAGGGGCUCUGAAAUCAGGCUGCUUGGGUAAAUCCUGAUCUUGUGGCUUCCUGGGUGACCUUGGGCAAGUUACUGAACCCCUGUAAGCCUCAGUCUCAUAAUAAUCACAGGACUAUUUUGAGGAUGAACAGAGCUCAUUCAGUGCCCCACACAGUGCCUGCCACACAGUGAGCUCUUUAUAAAUGUUAGCUAUCCUCACCUUAGUAUUCACAGGCUUUGAGACCUUGGCAAGUACACUAACCUCUCUGGGCCUUGGUUUCAUGAUCUGUAAAGUGAGAUUAACAAUAUCUAUCCCCCCGGGGCCAAGAGGCAUCUUGAGACAGACCUACCUUGCCUCGCUCACUGCCUGGCAUUUAGGAGGUGCUCAAUGCACAUAGCUUUUUUUCUCCUUUACUUCCCCUCCCCGCCAAGUUAGCAUAAGGCUCUAAUGAAAUCAUGGGUAAGAAACAAACAAAAACCCACAGGGCUGAGCAGGGAAGUCUUCCUGGGAUAAGUACUGUUUUCUCUACUUCUCCCAUCUUCCCUGGCAGCUCUCAUCCCGGGCCAAUCCAAGAAGUCAUUUUCCAAAAAUGUCUUCCAGGGACUACUGGUCUCCCAAGAUGCUAGGUGAACACAAGGUUCUAUAUUCAAAGAUAUCUGGGGAAUGCUGCCCAUUCUAGCCCCUGAGAGGCUUAUGACACACACUGUCUUAGUAAAGCCUCUGAGAAGUCCUGUGGUGACAAAACGCUGUGUGGCUGACUCUAACCCAGGGUCGCCCAGGGGGUCCACAGAGCCCCUGUUGUCCAUUGCACCCAUGGGGGCCUAGUAGAAUGAAUGUUCCUCAGAGGACCCUGGAGAGAUGUCGCUUUAGAAAGCCUCUGACUCUCUGGUCAUAACGAGCAUUUAAGGAACACAUUCCCUCAUCCAGAUAUUUAUGCUUCUUUGGGUUCUCUCUAGAUUGGAUUCAUGACCUCCACCUUCUUUUGAGGCUCACAACUCUUAGAAACAUGGUUGAAUCUCAAAAGAAAAAAGAAAUAUCCCUUCUCUUUCCCCAGUAGAUUGGGAAGGAAUUUCUCCCAAAUUUGGUUCAGAUAUUUGUACAAAACCUUCCUAAGUCGAAGCUGAGUGGAUGAAGAGAACAGUCACAGGUCUCCUGGGAAAUAGGAAGCUCCGUUCUCUCAGAGCUGGUGGGGAGGGACCUCCAUAGGUCACUGAGUUCAAGGAUAGCAAACGUGAGAUACACUGGCCUCUAUCCUUUUCGUCUGUGCCCAGGGCAGACAUAACUAACUGAUCAUGGCAGCAUUCCCUUUGUCUAAGCCCAUGGUAGACAUAAGUAAUUGAUCACAGUACUCUUUCCCACUGAGUCUGAAGGCUGCCUCAGAAACUCUCUCAGGACAGGGCUCCAGGUAGCUGCUUCCUACUGGUCAUCUCUGGUCUAAACAAACUCCUUAUUGCAGUGGUGGAAAAACCAAGGCUUAGAAAGCAGAAGUUACCUGCUCAACAUUACAUAGUCAGUUGGUGGCAGAGUGGAAACAGAACCCAGGGCUCCCAAAGUCUAGCCCAGUGCUCUCUCCACUCUAUCCCACCCUGUUCCCCCUGAGCCUCAGAAUGGCCUCAGUCUAGGGAGUUAGCUGCCAGCAUUGGUUUAGACUUCAGCACAUGUUAAAAACUCAGUUAUCUGAGGCUGGUUGCUAGGGCUUACUAACUGCUCAGGUGUAUGGCUGAAUUCGAACCUAAGGCAUUUAGGGCCCAGGUAGGCUUGCAAAGAAAGGAGUGUGUUGAUGGGGGAAAAACAAACCACUUUUAGAGCACUGUACUUAUUUUCAUAGGUUUAAAACAUUUGCUCUAAAUUAGCAUUAGACCAUCACUAAACAAGCUGGAUUUGUUGCCUUAGAGGCAGGGUCUGUCAUCUUGAGACAUCAAACAUGCAGUUCCUUUUCUUUUCUUUUUUUGAGACAGAGACUCACUCUGUUGCCCAGGCUAGAGUGCAGUGGCAUGAUCAUGGCUCACUGCAACCUCUGCCUCCUUAUCACCUCAGCCUCCCGAGUAGCUAGAACUACAGGCAUGUGCCACCACACUUGGCUAGGUUGUUAGGUUGUUUCUUGUUUUUCGUUUUUUUAAUUUUUUGUAUUUUUUGACAGGGCUUUGCCAUGUUGUCCAGGCUGUCUCAAACUCCUGGGCUCAAGGGAUCCACCCACCUCGGCCCCUCAAAAUGCGGGAAUUACAGGCGUGAGCCACGGCGCCGGGCCCACACAUGCAGUUCUAAUGGCUACCACUAGAUGGCAAAGAAGACGUAUCAGGGACCUGCAGGCUUGGGUUUAGAGCCUCCAAAAGAAUACGUUGCACUUGCCACAUUUGAACAGGCUUUCUAUUAUAAGUAACUUUCUCUUUUUUCGAGAUGGAGUCUUGCUCUGUCACCAGGCUGGAGUGCAGUGGUGCGAUCUCGGCUCACUGCAACCUCUGCCUCCCUGGUUCAAGUGAUUCUCCUGCCUCAGCCUCCUGAGGCAGCUAAUUGUUGUAUUUUUAGUAGAGACAAGGUUUCACCAUGUUGGCCAGGAUGGUCUCGAUCUUUUGACCUCGUGAUCUGCCUGCCUCAGCCUCCCAAAGUGCUGGGAUUACAGGCGUGAGCCACUGUGCCUGGCCUAUUACAAGUAACUUUCUGUUUUAAGCAGUAAAUAUUUACAUGAAUACCAAUUAUCUGCAUUUGCAUAUCAAAUUUAAGUAAAAAUGCUAUUCAGAGAAAGAUAUUUUAGAAAACCCGUCUGGGGACCUUCCGCCUCUCUUGGCCUCAGUUGUCCCUUCUGCGCCUCUCUGUGGCCUGUGUGCUGCCUCCUUCCACACAGGGAGAAGCUUCUCUCCUCCUAUGAGGCUUAUCUCAAGUGCCCCUCCUGCCAUAGGAUUUUUCUCUGCCCCUUCAGCACAGGUUGAACUCCAAAAGCAGGUCUCGAGAAGGUUACAUCCACAUAGGGGAAAGGUUUCUGGGAGGCCUCAGCACAGCCUCUGACUACUGCUAUUUGGAGAGAGAGCAGGUUGUAGAAAGGACUGGGUUUGGGGGCUGGGGGCGGGGGGCCAGGGUGAGCAGUUGGCUGGGUCAGCAUUUGUGGUGAGACAACGGGCAGGUUCCUCAGCCUCUCAGACCCUCUCAUGUCUCAUCUGGGCAUGGUGGCACCAGUGAAGGUUUUUGUGAGGAUUAGAUGCCAUCAGGUGUUAAACACCUGGCAUCCAAGAGGCCCCCAUUAUGCUUUACUUCCUACCUGGCUUUUGUGUGAAAUGCAAAAAUUAUUAUUCAUUCUGAUCUCAUAGCUUCCAGCUCCCUUCACAGCUAUUCUUAGAAGAGGCUUUGCAGGUUUUGUUUCUUCUGGAUUUUAACAUGUUCAAACAAAUGAGAAGUACAGGGGCUUUUGUCAGACUGUUGAAUGAAUGAAAUUUCUACAGACCUGACCUGUGGCAGACGUUUAGUGUGGCAUGAAAUCUGAACAUAUUUUCCAAGGAGGCUUCGACUGAGAGGCAUUACUGUUGGAGUUUAACUCUUAAUUCCCAGGAAUUGUACAUACACAUGCUCAAUUUCACCCAAUUUUAGGCUGGAAAUAGAGUAUGAAAAAUAUCUACCUUUGGGAACCACUCAAAUUUGAGUAAGGACACUGAAUGUUGAUUCUGUGUUAAAUAAAUGUCACACACCACCUAUUCUAAAAAAAAGCAGCAUGGCUUAUGUAAAUUUUGCUUAGGUAUAUGUGUGUUUAAAUUAAAUCGAGUGAAAACUUGCUUUGGGAAAAUAUUUGCAACUAUGCAGCUUCUACUGAAAUAGCUGGGGCUGGAGCGGGGGGAUGACAGUCCCUCACAGUCUUGGAGGGGAGAUAGCCCUGUGAACCAGGUGACCUCAUCCCCUAACCCCAGUCCCUCCCUGCGUCCCCUACCAAUUGGACCAGAAGUGGAAAUUAUUCCUGGCUGGGCCAAUCAGAUUUUUUCUUUGGGGAAUUUAGAACUGGAACAUGAGGGGUGGGGUGGGAAGACUCACUGAAAGGCUCAAGACUCAGGGGCUGAGGUCUCCAUUCUAACAGCUUCGAUGGUCCCUAAAUGUCCAAUGAAUGAAUGGACAGAGGCUGGUCUGCUGAGAGAGAAGGAAGCAGACACGCAGAAUGAAGAGAGGCCAGAGGCCAUGCAGCUGCAGAGGGCAGCAGAGCAGUACCUUGGUGCUAUACGAGCUCAGGUCAUGGCAUCCCAGGACUGUGGCAUGAAGGCUGCCCCCUGGGGUUGUGCAGGGGUGCAGCCCUGCUGCAGACAGCAGCUGCCUUGGCUUCCAAUGACCAUCUGGUCCUCAGCUGUGUUUUCUUUUCCUGGCUUCUGUGAACUCCCCUUGUAACAUUUAGAAAGUCUCUUUUCCCCGGGUCUUCUGCAUGGGUUUCACUGAAAGCGAAUGAUUCCUGAUCCAGAGAGUCCUGCCAUAUGUGAGUGGGGCCUUACCCUGUAGAUUCCAGCAGGCCAAAGUUUGAGAGGCCAUGUAAGUUGUACGUCCCCAAGCACAAAUCAAAGGAGAGAGCAGGGACGAGGGGCCUGGAGCUCUGAGCUCUGGCCCAUCUCUGUCUUGAACAUGUCCUCUCACCAGCCUGUGGGUGGGGAACCUAGGCUCAUGUCUUCAGGUUCUUGGGAGGCUCCAAAGAGAGACAGCAGUGCUCUAAAACAACGGUCCCCAACCUUUUUGGCACUAGGGACCGGUUUCAUGAAAGACAAUUUUUCCAUGGACUGGGGUAGGGGAGGGGUGGCUUUGAAACUGCUCCACCUCAGAUCAUCAGGCAUUAGAUUCUCAUAAGGAACACAUAACCUAGAUCCCUCGCAUGCAGAGUUCACAAUAGGGUUCACGCUCCUGUGAGAAUCUAAUGCUGCCGCUGAUCUGACAGGAGGCAGAGCUCAGGUGGUAAUGCUCUCUCGCCCACUGCUCACCUCCUGCUGUGCGGCCCCUUAACAGGCCACAGAUGGCUGCCUGUCCACAGUCUGAGGGUUGGGGACCUGCGCUCCAAAAGGUAAAGAUCACACCUUCACUGGGCUUUGGUGGCUUACCUGUUCAGGCCCUGGCAGUAGCCGAUGGUGGGGUUCUGCCAGGAGAAGGCCAGCAGCACCCGGCGGAGCUUGUCGGGGAAGCCGGUGUUCACGGGGUACUCCUGCCCGCAGUAGCUGCUUGAGCUC